Molecule: ribosomal RNA, 425 nt
Filed under: uncultured bacterium
Lineage: Bacteria
Description: bacterial SSU rRNA
Rfam family: Bacterial small subunit ribosomal RNA
Source: RNAcentral
GUAAGGAAUAUUGGUCAAUGGAGGGAACUCUGAACCAGCCAUGCCGCGUGCAGGAUGACUGCCCUAUGGGUUGUAAACUGCUUUUGUCAGGGAAUAAACCUUUCCACGUGUGGGAAGCUGAAUGUACCUGAAGAAUAAGGAUCGGCUAACUCCGUGCCAGCAGCCGCGGUAAUACGGAGGAUCCAAGCGUUAUCCGGAUUUAUUGGGUUUAAAGGGUGCGUAGGCGGUCCUAUAAGUCAGUGGUGAAAGACGGCAGCUUAACUGUCGCAGUGCCUUUGAUACUGUAGGACUUGAAUCUAUUUGAAGUGGGCGGAAUAAGACAAGUAGCGGUGAAAUGCAUAGAUAUGUCUUAGAACUCCGAUUGCGAAGGCAGCUCACUAAGUUAGUAUUGACGCUGAUGCACGAAAGCGUGGGGAUCAAACAGG